This 148-nucleotide small nucleolar RNA is filed under the name Eremothecium cymbalariae DBVPG#7215. RNAcentral's name for it is "Small nucleolar RNA snR190". It matches the Rfam family "Small nucleolar RNA snR190". Lineage: Eukaryota; Fungi; Ascomycota; Saccharomycetes; Saccharomycetales; Saccharomycetaceae. The record is from Rfam by way of RNAcentral.
UUCACUGAUGAUAACGGUCUAUACUUCUUUCCCAGUCCGAAUCGACCAUGACGAUAUGGGAUGUUGCCUUGCCUCAUUCGAAUCUUCGGAUUUGAUAAUCGGGGCUUCUUGCCAGUACAUUUUAAUGUACCUUUAGAUCAUCUGAGAU